Equus caballus (horse) is the source of this 1397-nucleotide non-coding RNA. The record is from RefSeq and is a predicted model, not a curated record. Lineage: Eukaryota; Metazoa; Chordata; Mammalia; Perissodactyla; Equidae.
UGAACCCCAGGCCGCUGGAGCAUAACCUGCAAACUUAACCGCUGCACCACCAGGCCGGCCCCAAUUAUCGUUGUCAAUUUUGAUGUUGUUAGUGCUUUUCUCUAUGUAUAAUUUGUUUUCACAAAACUAUGCCCUUAGUGGCUAUUCCAAGUUUGUUAUUUGAUGGCUGGUAAAAUCAAAGCCUUGGUUCUCAGUCAUAAUCUAAAGAAAUGGAAACCAGAGAAACAUAAUUGGUUUGGGAUGAAGUCCAGGAUAAUAAUUGUCAGUCCUUCCAUAAGGCCAGAGACUGUAUUGCUGAUGGUGACAGGCCUCGAGUUGUCUAAACAGUCCUGAAUUUACAAGUGCCUGACGGUUUUAAAGUGGUUCCCAGCGCCCAACAGUAGCAAGCGUCAGUUUCCUCAGUUAACCUGCGCUGCGGGAGAAGAAAGAACUCUGUAGUGCAGAAGUAAGGGGGAGGAAACCAAGUGGAUUCUCUGGUCAUCGGGUUAGCGAAGGUGACCCAGGCACAGUUGUGUCCACCGUAAAAAGCACAGCGGCUGUGGCUUGGCCUCACUCCCUGGGCAACAGGAUUCUGAGCUGAAAGUGAACAGCCCUUGAAGAAGUGUCUUAUCAGAUGCCAAGCACCAGGGGUUUGGACUUUUCUAAACGGAAGCACCAUGGAAGAGGCUUAAAGCGCAGGUUUUGCAGCCAAAUUGACGGCAUUAGACGAGGUCCAUCACAUACUAGCUCUAUAUUGGACCAAUCACUGGCCCUCUCUUAUCUUUAGUUUCCCAGUAUACAAAAUGGAAAUAAUAUUUCUCCUGGGGCUGUUGUGAAAAAGGAUUAAAUGGCAUGGCAAUGCUGCUGUUAAGCACAAUGUCUGAUCAGUUAAAAGUCUUAUAAGGACUUGGUUAUUAUAAACUGCCCGACCUCGCCCCGCCACCGCCAUUGUGCCUACCGGACCCGCUUCCGGGAGCCCCUUCACCUCAGUCUCCCCCAGCCGAACGCGGAUCCCUCCGCGCUCGCGUCACUUCCGGGAGACUCUGGCCGCGGCUCCUCGAAAUACCCGGAUGAUGUACUGUAGGUUUUGUCAUCCAGUGAAACAGGAACAAAUGUAAGGCUAUUGGGUUCUUGGCACAGUACCAUAAGGACCUGGACAAAACAUUGUUAAGUUUGCUGGCUGUAACCCACUACGUCGAUUUUAUGAUCUGCUAAUGCUGAUUUAGAAGAUCGGAUUAGAAUUGAAGAUUCUUGUUUGAUCUGCUUCUCAGGGUCCCACAGGACCAAAGCACACAGAGAGAACAUGUCAUCUCCAUCUCCAGUCUCAAGUCCUCAUCAGCUCACCACCCCAAAUGGCAUCCCCUUUCCAGAAUGAGUUAACUGUCCAGCCAGAUGGAAAUAAAGGCAGAGAAGGAAUA